RNAcentral lists this ribosomal RNA (253 nucleotides) under uncultured bacterium. RNAcentral's name for it is "partial 16S ribosomal RNA". It matches the Rfam family "Bacterial small subunit ribosomal RNA", at positions 524 to 776 of the family's 1533-position model. The record is from RNAcentral.
UACGUAGGGGGCAAGCGUUGUCCGGAAUCAUUGGGCGUAAAGCGCGCGUAGGCGGCCCUGUAAGUCCGCUGUAAAAGUCAAAGGCUCAACCUUUGAAAGCCGGUGGAUACUGCAGGGCUAGAGUCCGGAAGAGGCGAGUGGAAUUCCUGGUGUAGCGGUGGAAUGCGCAGAUAUCAGGAGGAACACCAAUGGCGAAGGCAGCUCUCUGGACUGUAACUGACGCUGAGGCGCGAAAGCGUGGGUAGCAAACAGG